RNAcentral lists this ribosomal RNA (1071 nucleotides) under uncultured bacterium. Its description in RNAcentral is "bacterial SSU rRNA". It matches the Rfam family "Bacterial small subunit ribosomal RNA", at positions 79 to 1172 of the family's 1533-position model. The record is from RNAcentral.
GCAAUACGAAUUCUUAGUGGCGAAUGGGUGAGUAACACGUAGGUGACCUGCCCCGAAGUGUGGAAUAACAGUCCGAAAGGAUUGCUAAUACCGCAUGUGGUUCUAGUCUUUAGAAAGCUAGAUCUAAAGCAGAAAUGCGCUUCGGGAGGGGCCUGCGGUCCAUCAGCUAGUUGGUAGGGUAACGGCCUACCAAGGCGACGACGGAUAGGGGACCUGAGAGGGUGGCCCCCCACAUUGGCACUGAAACACGGGCCAAACUCCUACGGGAGGCAGCAGUCGGGAAUAUUGGUCAAUGGGCGAAAGCCUGAACCAGCAACGCCGCGUGCACGAUGAAGGCCUUCGGGUCGUAAAGUGCUUUUUAGAGGGAUGAGGAAGGACAGUACCUCUAGAAUAAGUCACGGCUAACUACGUGCCAGCAGCCGCGGUAAAACGUAGGUGACAAGCGUUAUCCGGAAUUACUGGGCGUAAAGCGCGUGCAGGCGGCUUCGCAAGUCGGGCAUGAAAUCUCUCGGCCUAACCGAGAGACGCUGUUCGAUACUGCGGAGCUUGAGGGCAGUAAAAGGUGGCGGAAUUCCGCAUGUAGUGGUGAAAUGCGUAGAGAUGCGGAGGAACACCAGUGGCGAAGGCGGCCACCUGGGCUGUCCCUGACGCUGAAGCGCGAAAGCUAGGGUAGCGAACGGGAUUAGAAACCCCGGUAGUCCUAGCCGUAAACGAUGUUAACUAGGUGUCGGCGAUUAAAAACCGUCGGUGCCGAAGCCAACGCGUUAAGUUAACCGCCUGGGGACUACGGCCGCAAGGUUAAAACUCAAAGGAAUUGACGGGAACCCGCACAAGCAGCGGAACCGUGUGGUUUAAUUCGAGGCUACGCGAAGAACCUUACCAGGGUUUGACAUGUACGUAGUAGUGAAGCGAAAGCGGAACGACCCUUCCGGGGAGCGUACACAGGUGAUACAUUGGCUGUCGUCAGCUCGUGCCCUGAGGGGGUUGGGUUAAGUCCACUAACCGAGCGCAACCCUUAAGAGCCAGUUACAAGUGUCUGGGUUCGAUGGCCGGUCUUAAACCCGGAAGAAA